Cavia porcellus (domestic guinea pig) is the source of this 864-nucleotide non-coding RNA. The record is from the annotation of a RefSeq genome assembly. NCBI's taxonomy places the organism in Eukaryota, Metazoa, Chordata, Mammalia, Rodentia, Caviidae.
UUUUUUUUUAAUCUUUUUUGAGACAAGAUCUCGCUAUGCAGUUCAACCUGGCUUUGAGCUCACUUUGUAGCCCAGGCUGGUCUCAAACUCUCAAGGAUCGAUCUUCCCACCUCAGCCUCCGAGUGCUGGGAUUACAGGCAGCAAAACAAUCAGAAGUAUUUGAAACCUUUUUAGAGUUUAAAAUCUGAGUCUUCAUUGAGCAACACCAGAACAAUGGGAUUCUUCAAUGUUUUCCUAGUGAUCCUGUGGCUUCAGUUCAUCUGGGUGAGCGGCCAACAGAAGGAGGUAGAGCAGAGUCCUGAGACCCUCAGUGUUUCAGAGGGAGACAGCAUUGAUCUCAACUGCAGUUACAGUGGCAGGAAUUUUCAAACCUUUAUUUGGUACCGACAGCAUCCUGGGAAGGGUCCUGAGUUUCUGAUUUCCUUGUUCUCCAGUGGUGACAGAAAGGAAGGAAGAUUCACAGCGCAGCUCAGCACAGCCAGCCGGCAUUUCUCCCUGCACAUCACAGACUCCCAGCACCAUGACUCAGCUGCCUACCUCUGUGCAAUGAGCCCACAGUGCUCCACAGGCAGCUGCAGCCUGCACCAGAACCACAGAGUCUGGGCAGCCCUGAGGAGAGCAGAGAGCACAGGGCACAGGCUUUCUGUAUCUGCUCCAAAUGCAGAGGGGAUUAAGAGCAACGCUAGAGAUUAGGAGAGUAUCUAAUAAUUCUGAAAAUAAAUGACCAUGGAAGGGAAAUAAGAGGCAAAAUCUUUGUCUGAUAUAAAUAUUUUCCUUUUUUCCAUUGCCACUGUAAUUAAAAAAUGUUUUUGAGAUAGUGUAUGUACAAAAGGUUCACAUAUGUAAGUUAUAAAUCUCUGUGCA